Molecule: ribosomal RNA, 492 nt
Filed under: uncultured bacterium
Lineage: Bacteria
Description: partial 16S ribosomal RNA
Rfam family: Bacterial small subunit ribosomal RNA
Source: RNAcentral
AGUGAACGCUGGCGGUAGGCCUAACACAUGCAAGUCGAACGGCAGCACAGUAAGAGCUUGCUCUUACGGGUGGCGAGUGGCGGACGGGUGAGGAAUACAUCGGAAUCUACUUUUUCGUGGGGGAUAACGUAGGGAAACUUACGCUAAUACCGCAUACGACCUACGGGUGAAAGCAGGGGAUCUUCGGACCUUGCGCGAUUGAAUGAGCCGAUGUCGGAUUAGCUAGUUGGCGGGGUAAAGGCCCACCAAGGCGACGAUCCGUAGCUGGUCUGAGAGGAUGAUCAGGCACGCUGGAACUGCGACACGGUCCAGACUCCUACGGGAGGCAGCAGUGGGGAAUAUUGGACAAUGAGCGCAAGCCUGAUCCAGCCAUACCGCGUGGGUGAAGAAGGCCUUCGGGUUGUAAAGCCCUUUUGUUGGGAAAGAAAAGCAGCAGGUUAAUACCCCGCUGUUCUGACGGUACCCCAAGAAUAAGCACCGGCUAACUUCGUG